CACAAUCAACAGCAAAAGCUUAAAUGUAAAUGUGAGGUUUCCUUCAAUGUCAUUUCAUUUUGUAUGGAUAAAAUUGCAUAAUGAUUGUCUGGUAUGGGCGAACCCAGAGAAGAGGUGACACCUUAUGCAAUAGAUGUUACCUUUGCCUUUUUUUGCACUGUCCAUUUUUAUCUCAGCUAUCUGGUGUGGUUUUUGAGUGAGUUCAAAUUUAAUUUAGAUGAAUUUGCUUCAUAAUUGCUAUUUUUGCUUCAAAGUGCUAUUUCUUGGUGAAGAUCAAGCAACAAACAACAAAUCAUUUAUUAUGUUUAGUAAUAUAGAGAAGACUUUCCAUAAAAUUCUCAUCUUUGGUAGCUAUCUAUUCUUCAUUGUCAUUUUAUUAAUUAGUACCAGGUACUGCUCACCUGCAAUUCUCAUUUGCUUUUGAAGGAACACAAAUUUGUGUGUUAUCAGUUGUUUAAAAUUGAUUGAAUUUGGUAAAACACAGUUUGAAGCUUGGCUAAAAUAAAAGGAAAAAUUUUCUCAUUUCCCUUUGCUUCUGUUAAUGAUAAAUCAUCCUGCCCUUUUUUAUCAAGUAAACAUAAAUCAUUAUGCUUUUGCUGAUUAAUGGGACAUAUUAGCUUUAACAUGCUUUAUUCUUUCAUCCCUUGCACUCGAACCAGGCACUCCUAACAUGAUUAUGGCACUUGCUUCAAAUUAGGCAAAUAAUUAAAUGCAUUUGAAGUUGUCGCACAAGUUAGUCUAUAUCAUUCUUUUAUUGCAUCAUAAUAUUAUAUUUUGUACAUGCUAAUCUGUAGAAACAUACAAAGAAAUAAGUGGUGGUUGUAUACAGUAGUGAGUUAUUUCAAUUAAAACAGUAUAUUCUCUUUAUAGUUUAUGAUUAGACUGGUAUAAAAAAAAUUUAAUGUAGUAUUCUGAAGUAAGCAACAGCCAUGGGGAAAGUACCAAAUAGCAAUGAAAUGCUUCAUAAAAAAGGUACGUAAACAAAGCUCUAAUUUUAUUAUCAACUGACAAUAAUAUUUUCACACGCUAACAGAAGGAUAUUUACGUUAGAAUAUAAUGCUGAGCAAUAUCUCUUUCUCCAAAGAAAAUUUCUCCAUACAUUAGUAAGGGGCAUAAAUAAUUAAUUUCAAACAUAUGCAUUUCUAGAUUGCUAUGAGUCUUCUCGAAGCUCACAUAAUAAAUAUCUAACUAGCUGGGUAACUCCAAGGAAGAGGUUGUCUUUCCUGUAAAGUAUGAAGGAUAAUUGGAGAAAGAUGGUAUAUGAUGCUUGAUACUUCCGUGCUAAUAGAAUGAGACGGUAGCACAAUAAAUUUCUCCAUUAUAUGUUUAUGUUACAAGGGGGUCCAUAUCAGGAUAGUUUCACUAGCGAGGGUUGAAUAGAUCAUUCCAAGGGAGUGACUGAAAGAAACUUUAGAUGUUACUUAUGACACACACCCACACGCACUUUUACUCUCCUUUUUAGGUCUUCUAUUCGGUUCCUACUUUUUGUUGUUUAUCUUCUAACUCUAAUCAUCCUAAAGCAUUUGCAGUGGCAGGUAAUUUGAGAGUUCAAAAGGAAAAUGAUUUGAGAUGUUCGAAGAUGGACUUCCAUCAAUUUCUCAGGUGCAAUGAUCAGAAAAGUUUUGUUACCUUAACAAUUUUCCAAUACUCUUUGCUGAAUACCUUAGCUAGACUCAAAUCAAACUAUCCAACCCAAGAGGUGCUACCAACAACUAGCUAGGAACUAGGAAGGAUGACGCGAAAGAAACAUAAGCCGUUUGGAACACUGUAAUUGUCUGCAUACUCUGUAUAUUCUGGACAAUCUUAAAGGAAUAACAACUGAUGGAUUGCGGAACCAUCAAUAUGAAAUUGUUGUAUGUUUCUCCAUCUAUUAUUUUGCUACGUUGUAUCUUUUGGAACUCAAAACAUGUAGCAGCACCUAUUUGGUGUUAAUUAAGCUUUGAUUACUUAUUGAAAAAAUGUGUUAAUUUGUGGUAGUGUUG
This 1982-nucleotide long non-coding RNA is filed under the name Nicotiana tabacum (common tobacco). RNAcentral describes it as "long non-coding RNA (NTAB_LNC014407)". The record is from RNAcentral. Lineage: Eukaryota; Viridiplantae; Streptophyta; Magnoliopsida; Solanales; Solanaceae.